UACGUAGGGUGCGAGCGUUGUCCGGAAUUACUGGGCGUAAAGAGCUCGUAGGUGGUUUGUCGCGUUGUCCGUGAAAACUCACAGCUCAACUGUGGGCGUGCGGGCGAUACGGGCAGACUGGAGUACUGCAGGGGAGACUGGAAUUCCUGGUGUAGCGGUGGAAUGCGCAGAUAUCAGGAGGAACACCGGUGGCGAAGGCGGGUCUCUGGGCAGUAACUGACGGCUGAGGAGCGAAAGCGUGGGGAGCGAACAGG
RNAcentral lists this ribosomal RNA (254 nucleotides) under uncultured bacterium. RNAcentral's name for it is "partial 16S ribosomal RNA". It matches the Rfam family "Bacterial small subunit ribosomal RNA", at positions 524 to 776 of the family's 1533-position model. The record is from RNAcentral.